AGGCAUCACUGAAGACCUGACACCGGCGGAAUCGGACGUUCGCCGUCCUCGGCGGGACGCACCAGGUGUUGUGUUAUGCAAACUUCACUGCCAUCCGAUGACGCUGUCACAUCCCGUCGACGAGAAUGACCCCUGGCUUUGUCUGAGGAGCACACUUGGCCGUCUCCAAAACGCAGAGUCACAGGGGCAAGACAAUAACGCCCAGAAGUUAUACAAAUGAAUUGUCGGGAAAAGAGCUGGAACGAGAAGAGGGGUGCUCACAGCGUUAGCCAUCGAUGCAGAGUGAAGGAGCGGGUAGAGGAGCAAAAAAGACAAGUGAAAGAGGUCCAGACUUGAAGGAGGCACGCAAGCACAGAGACACACACAUAAUGGCACCUAGAGGCUGUCUGCGGUCUACCACCACCCUACCACACACACACACACACACACACACACACAUAUGCAUGCCAGUUACGCUAAAAAUCUGAACACUGAAGGAGGAUCAUUAUGGCCUCCUUCAGGAAGAAAACAAUGUUUUCUAGUUUUCUUCUCCAAGGAGAGAAACAUUGACAAGUUAUAUUCGAGAAAGCUACAAAAUUCAGUCAUUUAAAGAGCUUUGUAGUUUCCAGUACCAGCGCUGUUAAAAGCUGUUUUUUGGUUUAAUUUAAUGCGAGAUGU
Molecule: long non-coding RNA, 657 nt
Organism: Pundamilia nyererei
Lineage: Eukaryota; Metazoa; Chordata; Actinopteri; Cichliformes; Cichlidae
Exons: 3
Source: RefSeq, a predicted model, not a curated record